This 273-nucleotide ribosomal RNA is filed under the name uncultured bacterium. Its description in RNAcentral is "partial 16S ribosomal RNA". It matches the Rfam family "Bacterial small subunit ribosomal RNA", at positions 371 to 661 of the family's 1533-position model. The record is from RNAcentral.
UGGGGCGCAAGCCUGAUCCAGCCAUGCCGCGUGAGUGAUGAAGGCCUUAGGGUCGUAAAGCUCUUUCGCCAGAGAUGAUAAUGACAGUAUCUGGUAAAGAAACCCCGGCUAACUCCGUGCCAGCAGCCGCGGUAAUACGGAGGGGGUUAGCGUUGUUCGGAAUUACUGGGCGUAAAGCGUACGUAGGCGGAUUAGUCAGUCAGAGGUGAAAUCCCAGGGCUCAACCCUGGAACUGCCUUURAUACUGCUAKUCUUGAKUUCAGAGAGAGGUGA